Molecule: ribosomal RNA, 253 nt
Filed under: uncultured bacterium
Lineage: Bacteria
Description: partial 16S ribosomal RNA
Rfam family: Bacterial small subunit ribosomal RNA
Source: RNAcentral
UACAGAGGUCUCAAGCGUUGUUCGGAUUCAUUGGGCGUAAAGGGUGCGUAGGUGGCGGGGUAAGUCGGAUGUGAAAUCCCGGGGCUCAACCCCGGAACUGCAUUCGAUACUGCCUUGCUCGAGUACUGGAGAGGAGAUUGGAAUUUACGGUGUAGCAGUGAAAUGCGUAGAUAUCGUAAGGAAGACCAGUGGCGAAGGCGAAUCUCUGGACAGUUACUGACACUGAGGCACGAAGGCCAGGGGAGCAAACGGG